This 83-nucleotide microRNA precursor is filed under the name Megaselia scalaris. Its description in RNAcentral is "microRNA mir-iab-4". The record is from RNAcentral. Lineage: Eukaryota; Metazoa; Arthropoda; Insecta; Diptera; Phoridae.
AUGGAUGAUAAGGUCUAUAAACUGAAGAUAGUCCGAUCUCUUUGGUUUGGACUAUCUUCAGUUUAUUGAACUUUAAAAAACUC